This 224-nucleotide ribosomal RNA is filed under the name uncultured bacterium. RNAcentral's name for it is "partial 16S ribosomal RNA". It matches the Rfam family "Bacterial small subunit ribosomal RNA", at positions 111 to 334 of the family's 1533-position model. The record is from RNAcentral.
UAACACAUCGGAACAUGUCCAUUCGUGGGGGAUAGCCCGGCGAAAGCCGGAUUAAUACUGCAUACGCCCUUUGGGGGAAAGCGGGGGACUGGGCAACCGGCCUCGCGCGAAUGGGUUGGCCGAUGUCCGAUUAGCUAGUUGGUGGGGUAAAGGCUCACCAAGGCGAUGAUCGGUAGCUGGUCUGAGAGGAUGAUCAGCCACACUGGGACUGAGACACGGCCCAG